GACAGAGGGGGCAAGCGUUGCUCGGAAUUACUGGGCGUAAAGGGCUCGUAGGCGGCCAACUAAGUCGGACGUGAAAUCCCCAGGCUCAACCUGGGAACUGCGUCCGAUACUGGAUGGCUUGAAUUCGGGAGAGGGAUGCAGAAUUCCAGGUGUAGCGGUGAAAUGCGUAGAUAUCUGGAGGAAUACCGGUGGCGAAGGCGGCAUCCUGGACCGACAUUGACGCUGAUGAGCGAAAGCCAGGGGAGCAAACAGG
Molecule: ribosomal RNA, 253 nt
Filed under: uncultured bacterium
Lineage: Bacteria
Description: partial 16S ribosomal RNA
Rfam family: Bacterial small subunit ribosomal RNA
Source: RNAcentral